This 803-nucleotide ribosomal RNA is filed under the name uncultured Paracoccaceae bacterium. RNAcentral describes it as "bacterial SSU rRNA". It matches the Rfam family "Bacterial small subunit ribosomal RNA", at positions 36 to 886 of the family's 1533-position model. Lineage: Bacteria; Pseudomonadati; Pseudomonadota; Alphaproteobacteria; Rhodobacterales; Paracoccaceae. The record is from RNAcentral.
CUGGCGGCAGGCCUUAUACAUGCAAGUCGAGCGCAUCCUUCGGGAUGAGCGGCGGACGGGUGAGUAACGCGUGGGAAUGUGCCCUUCUCUACGGAAUAGCCACUGGAAACGGUGAGUAAUACCGUAUACGCCCUUAGGGGGAAAGAUUUAUCGGAGAAGGAUCAGCCCGCGUUAGAUUAGGUAGUUGGUGGGGUAACGGCCUACCAAGCCUACGAUCUAUAGCUGGUUUUAGAGGAUGAUCAGCCACACUGGGACUGAGACACGGCCCAGACUCCUACGGGAGGCAGCAGUAGGGAAUCUUGGACAAUGGGGGCAACCCUGAUCCAGCCAUGCCGCGUGAGUGAAGAAGGCCCUAGGGUCGUAAAGCUCUUUCGCCUGUGAUGAUAAUGACAGUAGCAGGUAAAGAAACCCCGGCUAACUCCGUGCCAGCAGCCGCGGUAAUACGGAGGGGGUUAGCGUUGUUCGGAAUUACUGGGCGUAAAGCGCGCGUAGGCGGAUUGGAAAGUUGGGGGUGAAAUCCCGGGGCUCAACCCCGGAACUGCCUUCAAAACUCCCAGUCUAGAGUUCGAGAGAGGUGAGUGGAAUUCCGAGUGUAGAGGUGAAAUUCGUAGAUAUUCGGAAGAACACCAGUGGCGAAGGCGGCUCACUGGCUCGAUACUGACGCUGAGGUGCGAAAGUGUGGGGAGCAAACAGGAUUAGAUACCCUGGUAGUCCACACCGUAAACGAUGAAUGCCAGUCGUCGGAUAGUAUACUAUUCGGUGACACACCUAACGGAUUAAGCAUUCCGCCUGGGGAGUACGGU